RNAcentral lists this ribosomal RNA (464 nucleotides) under uncultured bacterium. Its description in RNAcentral is "partial 16S ribosomal RNA". It matches the Rfam family "Bacterial small subunit ribosomal RNA", at positions 29 to 507 of the family's 1533-position model. The record is from RNAcentral.
ACGAACGCUGGCGGCGUGCUUAACACAUGCAAGUCGAACGGAAAGGCCCCUUUGGGGGUACUCGAGUGGCGACCGGGUGAGUAACACGUGAGUAACCUGCCCUUGACUUCGGGAUAACUUCAGGAAACUGGGGCUAAUACCGGAUAGGAAUCCUUGCUGCAUGGUGGGGGUUGGAAAGCUUCGGCGGUUUUGGAUGGACUCGCGGCUUAUCAGCUUGUUGGUGGGGUAGUGGCUUACCAAGGCUUUGACGGGUAGCCGGCCUGAGAGGGCGACCGGCCACAUUGGGACUGAGAUACGGCCCAGACUCCUACGGGAGGCAGCAGUGGGGAAGAUUGCACAAUGGGCGGAAGCCUGAUGCAGCAACGCCGCGUGCGGGAUGACGGCCUUCGGGUUGUAAACCGCUUUCAGCAGGGGCGAAGCUUGUGGUGACGGUACCUGCAGAAGAAGCACCGGCUAACUACGUG